This is a long non-coding RNA of Harpia harpyja (harpy eagle), 530 nucleotides long. RefSeq lists it as uncharacterized. NCBI's taxonomy places the organism in Eukaryota, Metazoa, Chordata, Aves, Accipitriformes, Accipitridae. The record is from RefSeq and is a predicted model, not a curated record. The transcript is spliced from 3 exons.
ACCCAGCACCUCCUGGGGACUGGAGGAGAAUUGUUAUUUGGAUGUAAUUAAAAAGGCAGCCCUCCACCCCAGACACCCUGCAUAUUUUUGGCACUGGUGGCUGUGGGAUGUACAUCAGACACUGGGUGCAGACAUCACUGGGCAUCUCUGGAAGAUCCCAAGGGUUGGGAAAAAGGAAAAGGGGUAGCAGGCAGUUCUUCCUUCCCAAGCAGCACCACCACGGUGAGCUGUGACCCACAGCAGAGCUGGAAAAAAUAUCCUUGGGUGACCCGCCACUCUCUGCAAUUGCUUAUGGCUGAAGUGGAUUAUGGUAUUCAGGUCAAGCCUACAAGGCCAACAGGAUGAUUGUCAUGAGCAGGACGUGUGUCAAACUGUCUUGGCUUACCCUGGAUUGCAAAAUUGUCACUUCCAUCCUUUCUCAAGCCUUUCCCUGGACCGCUGCACCAGAGGGGUCUAACACCAGCUUGGAUCCUGGAAUCGCAAUGCUUCUGAGAUCUUUACUCUUCUGCCUACUUUGUUUGACAUUCCCC